UAUUGGACAAUGGGGGCAACCCUGAUCCAGCAAUGCCGCGUGUGUGAAGAAGGCCUUCGGGUUGUAAAGCACUUUAGGUGGGGAAGAAGGUGAGUAUUUUAAGAGAUAAUUCAUUUGACGGUACCCGCAGAAUAAGCACCGGCUAACUCUGUGCCAGCAGCCGCGGUAAUACAGAGGGUGCAAGCGUUAAUCGGAUUUACUGGGCGUAAAGGGCGCGUAGGUGGUUGAUUAAGUGAGAUGUGAAAUCCCCGGGCUUAACCUGGGAACUGCAUCUUAUACUGGUCAGCUGGAGUGAAGUAGAGGGUAGUGGAAUUUCCGGUGUAGCGGUGAAAUGCGUAGAUAUCGGAAGGAACACCAGUGGCGAAGGCGGCUACCUGGACUUACACUGACACUGAGGCGCGAGA
RNAcentral lists this ribosomal RNA (404 nucleotides) under uncultured bacterium. RNAcentral describes it as "bacterial SSU rRNA". It matches the Rfam family "Bacterial small subunit ribosomal RNA", at positions 362 to 758 of the family's 1533-position model. The record is from RNAcentral.